Molecule: ribosomal RNA, 252 nt
Filed under: uncultured bacterium
Lineage: Bacteria
Description: partial 16S ribosomal RNA
Rfam family: Bacterial small subunit ribosomal RNA
Source: RNAcentral
UACGGAGGGGGUUAGCGUUGUUCGGAUUUACUGGGUAUAAAGUGCGCGUAGGCGGUUACUUAAGUUAGGUGUUAAAUCCUUUAGCUCAACUAAAGUCUGCAUCUAAAACUGGGUAACUAGAGAGUAGUAGAGGAAAGCGGAACUCACAGUGUAGCGGUGAAAUGCAUAGAUAUUGUGAGGAACACCGGUUGCGAAGGCGGCUUUCUGGCCUAUUUCUGACGCUGAGGUGCGAAAGCGUGGGGAGCGAACGGG